This 73-nucleotide transfer RNA is filed under the name Candidatus Woesebacteria bacterium. Its description in RNAcentral is "tRNA-Glu". It matches the Rfam family "tRNA". From Rfam's summary of the family: Transfer RNA (tRNA) molecules are approximately 80 nucleotides in length. Their secondary structure includes four short double-helical elements and three loops (D, anti-codon, and T loops). The record is from RNAcentral. Lineage: Bacteria; Candidatus Woeseibacteriota.
GGCCCUAUCGUCUAGCGGUUCAGGACGCUAGGUUCUCAUCCUAGUAACACGGGUUCGAAUCCCGUUAGGGUCA